Molecule: ribosomal RNA, 368 nt
Filed under: uncultured eukaryote
Lineage: Eukaryota
Description: partial 18S ribosomal RNA
Rfam family: Eukaryotic small subunit ribosomal RNA
Source: RNAcentral
CAGUAGCGUAUAUUAAAGUUGUUGCAGUUAAAAUGCUCGUAGUUGAAGUUCGGAUGCAGCAGAGCUUGGAAACGCUGUUAUGGUGCUUCCGUUGCUUUUGCUUGUCCACAGUGCGUUGCAAGUACGUAUGUGCUUGUGCGUGCAUUUUACUUUGAGAAACAUAGGGUGUUCCACGCAUGUUACGGCAUGAAUAUUCCAGCAUGGGAUAAUCUGGUACGACUUCCAAUCUGCCAUUUUGGUUCGUAGGUUGGAAGUAAUGAUUAAUAGGGACUGUCGGGGGCAUUGGUAUUUGACUGUCAGAGGUGAAAUUCUUAGAUUUAUGGAAGACGAACAUCUGCGAAAGCAUUUGCCAAGGAUGUUUUCAUUGA